UGGGGAAUAUUGCACAAUGGGCGCAAGCCUGAUGCAGCCAUGCCGCGUGUAUGAAGAAGGCCUUCGGGUUGUAAAGUACUUUCAGCGGGGAGGAAGGUGUUGUGGUUAAUAACCACAGCAAUUGACGUUACCCGCAGAAGAAGCACCGGCUAACUCCGUGCCAGCAGCCGCGGUAAUACGGCGGGUGCAAGCGUUAAUCGGAAUUACUGGGCGUAAAGCGCACGCAGGCGGUCUGUCAAGUCGGAUGUGAAAUCCCCGGGCUCAACCUGGGAACUGCAUCCGAAACUGGCAGGCUUGAGUCUUGUAGAGGGGGGUAGAAUUCCAGGUGUAGCGGUGAAAUGCGUAGAGAUCUGGAGGAAUACCGGUGGCGAAGGCGGCCCCCUGGACAAAGACUGACGCUCAGGUGCGAAAGCGUGGGGAGCAAACA
This 427-nucleotide ribosomal RNA is filed under the name uncultured bacterium. RNAcentral's name for it is "partial 16S ribosomal RNA". It matches the Rfam family "Bacterial small subunit ribosomal RNA", at positions 355 to 774 of the family's 1533-position model. The record is from RNAcentral.